This 884-nucleotide unclassified non-coding RNA is filed under the name Hevea brasiliensis (rubber tree). The record is from RNAcentral. Lineage: Eukaryota; Viridiplantae; Streptophyta; Magnoliopsida; Malpighiales; Euphorbiaceae.
GACUCCAGUCCAUCCCCAAAGGCAGAGGCGAGGUACCAUCAUGGCUAUACCCUGGCGGGCUCUUACGCGUGGGAAUCAUGGAUUUAUAAUUUAUUUUAUCCCCAUAACAACUCCCAGGAUCCUCACCUCUAUCAUAAUAUCCAUGGAUGAAGGAAUUCGACAAUGAAGAUGAACGAUGGUAGUGAGAGAUGGAGAUGGGGUCCAUGAUGGGAUCGGAGAAGUUGGCAAAGUCGAAAAGAGAGAGAUCGUGCGCAUAGAGAUCCAUGAUUGAAUUCGAUAGGAAAUGUUCCCUUCACCAAGGUUUUCCGUUUGUUUCGUUUUUAAACAAAAGUUGCCAAUAUUCACCACAUCCUCACCUUUGCCUGAAUUGAGCGAAAUGAAGAUGAUAAAAUAAACAUGCUCCGUAAUUUAUAGAAGAUAAUUUUAACUUUGUUGAGAGAACUUGUAAGUUGUAAUAAGGCAGCUCAUCUCAUAUUCCUCAUAUUCUCUUGCUUGAUCUUUCUCUCUUCCGCCCACUCUUUUUGUCUCCCCCCAUCCUUUUAUCACAAACUUGAACAAACUCAACAAUCCCUUACAAAUCCAAACCUAGCAAUGCUCUUUGCCUCUUUUGAUGCUUUAUCCUUUAUGUGGGUGAUGCCACCAACUGUGCUGUAGUCCCCAUUCAAUAAAAACGGUUUGGGUGGGAAUGAAAAUUUAGAUACAAUCUUCUGUUACAUUUUAUAAAAAGAGGCUUCUCUCCUUUUUAGUUGAAUGAGAAGGAUCUUCUUUCCAAACUGAGUUGAAUGAUAUCUUCUGCAAAUCAAGUUGUGAGCUUCAUAAGAUUAGCAACAAUGGGAACAAAUCCUGGUUUAUCAUAAUCCAUCUGAACCAGUGCUCCAAAGGGU